AGAGUUUGAUCCUGGCUCGGAUUGAACGCUGGCGGCAUGCCUUACACAUGCAAGUCGAACGGCAGCACGAGAGCUUGCUCUUGGUGGCGAGUGGCGAACGGGUGAGUAAUAUAUCGGAACGUACCCUAGAGUGGGGGAUAACGUAGCGAAAGUUACGCUAAUACCGCAUACGAUCUACGGAUGAAAGUGGGGGAUCGCAAGACCUCAUGCUCAUGGAGCGGCCGAUAUCUGAUUAGCUAGUUGGUGGGGUAAAAGCUCACCAAGGCGACGAUCAGUAGCUGGUCUGAGAGGACGACCAGCCACACUGGAACUGAGACACGGUCCAGACUCCUACGGGAGGCAGCAGUGGGGAAUUUUGGACAAUGGGCGCAAGCCUGAUCCAGCAAUGCCGCGUGAGUGAAGAAGGCCUUCGGGUUGUAAAGCUCUUUUGUCAGGGAAGAAACGGUGGACUCUAAUACAGAUCACUAAUGACGGUACCUGAAGAAUAAGCACCGGCUAACUACGUGCCAGCAGCCGCGGUAAUACGUAGGGUGCAAGCGUUAAUCGGAAUUACUGGGCGUAAAGCGUGCGCAGGCGGUUGUGCAAGACAGAUGUGAAAUCCCCGGGCUCAACCUGGGAAUUGCAUUUGUGACUGCACGGCUAGAGUGUGUCAGAGGGGGGUAGAAUUCCACGUGUAGCAGUGAAAUGCGUAGAGAUGUGGAGGAAUACCGAUGGCGAAGGCAGCCCCCUGGGAUAACACUGACGCUCAUGCACGAAAGCGUGGGGAGCAAACAGGAUUAGAUACCCUGGUAGUCCACGCCCUAAACGAUGUCUACUAGUUGUCGGGUCUUAAUUGACUUGGUAACGCAGCUAACGCGUGAAGUAGACCGCCUGGGGAGUACGGUCGCAAGAUUAAAACUCAAAGGAAUUGACGGGGACCCGCACAAGCGGUGGAUGGUGUGGAUUAAUUCGAUGCAACGCGAAAAACCUUACCUACCCUUGACAUGUCUGGAAUCCUUGAGAGAUCAGGGAGUGCUCGAAAGAGAAUCAGAACACAGGUGCUGCAUGGCUGUCGUCAGCUCGUGUCGUGAGAUGUUGGGUUAAGUCCCGCAACGAGCGCAACCCUUGUCAUUAGUUGCUACGAAAGGGCACUCUAAUGAGACUGCCGGUGACAAACCGGAGGAAGGUGGGGAUGACGUCAAGUCCUCAUGGCCCUUAUGGGUAGGGCUUCACACGUCAUACAAUGGUACAUACAGAGGGCCGCCAACCCGCGAGGGGGAGCUAAUCCCAGAAAGUGUAUCGUAGUCCGGAUUGUAGUCUGCAACUCGACUACAUGAAGUUGGAAUCGCUAGUAAUCGCGGAUCAGCAUGUCGCGGUGAAUACGUUCCCGGGUCUUGUACACACCGCCCGUCACACCAUGGGAGCGGGUUUCACCAGAAGUGGGUAGCCUGACCGCAAGGAGGGCGCUCACCACGGUGGGAUUCGUGACUGGGGUGAAGUCGUAACAAGGUA
RNAcentral lists this ribosomal RNA (1491 nucleotides) under metagenome. Its description in RNAcentral is "bacterial SSU rRNA". It matches the Rfam family "Bacterial small subunit ribosomal RNA". The record is from RNAcentral.